AUCAGCUGUCGGGAAGCAUGCCGGUGGCAAGCGGUUUGAUUGCCGUGUCUUUUGCAGGUUGACUGGCUAUCACGGUAUGAUUGGGGGAUGUCGUUGUAGCUUCACUCUCUUCACCGCCAAACGAGCCCAUCCUGCCUGGACUGAGGACCAGGACUUCUUAAGACAAGAUGGGUUCGAACUCGAAGACAACAGCACAAACAAAAUUCUUCCAAAGACCAUAACAAGCCAUUUCCGGAAGAAGCCAGAAUUGAAUAAAGCCAAAUAAAAAGCUGAAAAUGAAGCCGAUGAGUGGGCCGCGAUGCCGCCCUCUCACUGUAUUCCUCAUCCUCCUGUUCUACGGAUAAUCCAUACGUCAAACGAUGAAUAGCUUCAAAGAAAGUGUAACCCAUAUAAAGUGACGGAUCACGACGUAGUUAGAAGGCAAUCGAUCACUACUUACCAGAAACAGAAAUGAACAUUACAGUACUUUAGGGUUCAAUGCCGCUGUUUCUUUUAUUGUUCAGUCCUAACCGAUAUGAUUGCAUUCUAUUAUUAAUGUCUUUUACAUUGUUUUCCUAAUCCCUCUCUCUUUGGCAUUGAAGUAACAACCAAGAACUGCAGGAAUAGCUAGCGAACUAACCAAGACUUGGCACCAAAUUUUAUCCGUUACAUUUUCGGUUAACUGCUACACAUCUAUGCUAUGUUAAUUUGUCUAUAUCACGAAUAAAUCAAACCAAUAAA
This is a long non-coding RNA of Daphnia magna, 720 nucleotides long. RefSeq lists it as uncharacterized. The transcript is spliced from 2 exons. The record is from RefSeq and is a predicted model, not a curated record. Lineage: Eukaryota; Metazoa; Arthropoda; Branchiopoda; Diplostraca; Daphniidae.